Molecule: ribosomal RNA, 360 nt
Filed under: uncultured bacterium
Lineage: Bacteria
Description: bacterial SSU rRNA
Rfam family: Bacterial small subunit ribosomal RNA
Source: RNAcentral
UGGGGAAUCUUGCGCAAUGGGCGAAAGCCUGACGCAGCCAUGCCGCGUGAAUGAUGAAGGUCUUAGGAUUGUAAAGUUCUUUCGCCCGUGACGAUGAUGACGGUAACGGGAGAAGAAGCCCCGGCUAACUUCGUGCCAGCAGCCGCGGUAAUACGAAGGGGGCUAGCGUUGUUCGGAAUUACUGGGCGUAAAGCGCGCGUAGGCGGUUUUGCAAGCCAGAGGUGAAAUGCCUGAGCUCAACUUAGGAAUUGCCUUUGGGACUGCGAGGCUUUGAGGACUGGAGAGGUGAGUGGAAUUCCCAGUGUAGAGGUGAAAUUCGUAGAUAUUGGGAGGAACACCAGUGGCGAAGGCGGCUCACUG